GUGUAAGCUACUAAGGGCACACGGUGGAUGCCUUGGCGUCAAAUGCCGAUGAAGGACGUGGUACACUGCGAUAAGCCUCGAGGAGUCGUGUGCAGACGUUAUAUUCGAGGAUUUCCGAAUGGGGAAACCCACCAGGGGUUAAUGCCCUGGUACUGUUAUCUGAAUAAAAUAGGGUAACAGAGGGAACGAGGUGAACUGAAACAUCUUAGUAACCUCAGGAAAAGAAAAUGAUUCCCUCAGUAGUGGCGAGCGAAAGGGGAAAAGCCCAAACCGUUUUCUAUAUGGAAGCGGGGUUGUAGGACUUGCAUAUAGGAGUUACAAAUCUAUCUGAUAGUGGAACUGUACUGGAAAGUACGGCCAGAGAGGGUGACAGCCCCGUACACGAAAUUGGAUAGACUCCUGCAAUGUUCCUGAGUACGACGGGACACGAGAAACCCCGUCGGAAUCUGGGAAGGCCACUUCCCAAGGCUAAAUACAUUUGACGACCGAUAGUGAACAAGUACUGUGAAGGAAAGGUGAAAAGUCCCCCAGUAAGGGGAGUGAAAUAGAACCUGAAACCGUGUGCUUACAACCGGUCGGAGCACUAUGGCGUAAGCCAGUGUGACGGCGUGCCUUUUGGAGAAUGAGCCAGCGAGUUAAUCUCAGUGGCAAGGUUAAGUCAGUAAUAGACGGAGCCGUAGCGAAAGCGAGUCUGAAUAGGGCGAUUGAGUUGCUGGGAUUAGACACGAAACCAGGUGAGCUACCCAUGGGCAGGCUGAAGCGAGGCUAAUCCCUCGUGGAGGGCCGAACCCACUAAUGUUGCAAAAUUAGGAUGACCUGUGGGUAGGGGUGAUAUGCCAAACGAACUUGGAGAUAGCUUGUUCUCUCCCGAAAUAGCUUUAGGGCUAGCGUCACGUGUUUAGUAUAGGGGUAGAGCACUGGAUGAGUUAGGGGCGUACUCUUACCAGCCUCAACCAAACUCCGAAUACCUAUACUCCAGAGCGUAGCAGUCGGACUAGUGAGGAUGAGUUUCAUAGUCGAAAGGAAACAGACCCAGACCGCCGGCUAAGGUCCUCAAGUCUAUGCUAAGUGGGAAACGAUGUGAGUGUUUAGACAGCCAGGAGGUUGGCUUAGAAGCAGCCAUUCCUUUAAAGAGUGCGUAAUAGCUCACUGGUCAAACGCUUUUGCGCGGAAAAUGUAACGGGGCUUAAGCAUAGCACCGAAGCGCGGACUUUGAUAAUUCUACGGAAUUAUUGAAGUGGUAGGAGAGCGUUCUGUAGGAGAUACAAGAAUGACAGUGAAGGAUAUCUGUGGCCUACAGAAGUGAGAAUGCUAUAAUUAGUAAUAGCGUAAAACAUGUGAGAAAUAUGUUCCCCGUAAACCUAAGUGUUUCCGACGGAAGGUUGAGUCCGCGUCGGGUUAGUCGGGCCUUAGCCGAGGCGAAAGGCGUAGGUGAUGGACAUCUAUUAAUAUUCCAGAACCACUUAAAAGGAGCGAUGAAGAGGGACGCAGCGUGGUAGGUCAGCCCCUUAUUGGAUUGGGGUGCUAAACGUCUAGGAUGAGAUGGGUGUAGGAAAAUCCACCGGAAUCUGAAGCGUGAUAGCGGCGCCUAUAGAGUAAGUGAUUGAGCCAUGCUGCCGAGAAAAACUCUAAGUGAAGGUGCUGCAGGUCUUAUUCCCAGUUACCAGGUGUAUAACAAUACGUAAC
Molecule: ribosomal RNA, 1686 nt
Filed under: Chloroflexota bacterium
Lineage: Bacteria; Bacillati; Chloroflexota
Description: Chloroflexi bacterium partial 23S ribosomal RNA
Rfam family: Bacterial large subunit ribosomal RNA
Source: RNAcentral